This 673-nucleotide unclassified non-coding RNA is filed under the name Streptococcus pneumoniae. RNAcentral's name for it is "partial contains 16S ribosomal RNA, 16S-23S ribosomal RNA intergenic spacer, and 23S ribosomal RNA". The stretch from base 1 to 132 matches the Rfam family "Bacterial small subunit ribosomal RNA", at positions 1394 to 1533 of the family's 1533-position model. The record is from RNAcentral. Lineage: Bacteria; Bacillati; Bacillota; Bacilli; Lactobacillales; Streptococcaceae.
CUUUUAUCCCACAAUGUACACCCGAAGUCGUGAGGUAACCGUAAGGGGCAGCCGCCUAAGGUGGGAUAGAUGAUUGGGGUGAAGUCGUAACAAGGUAGCCGUAUCGGAAGGUGCGGCUGGAUCACCUCCUUUCUAAGGAUAAGGAACUGCGCAUUGGUCUUGUUUAGUCUUGAGAGGUCUUGUGGGGCCUUAGCUCAGCUGGGAGAGCGCCUGCUUUGCCGCAGGAGGUCAGCGGUUCGAUCCCGCUAGGCUCCAUUGGUGAGAGAUCACCAAGUAAUGCACAUUGAAAAUUGAAUAUCUAUAUCAAAUAGUAACAAGAAAAUAAACCGAAAACGCUGUAGUAUUAAUAAGAGUUUAUGACUGAAAGGUCAGAAAAUAAGGUUAAGUUAAUAAGGGCGCACGGUGCAUGCCUUGGCACUAGGAGCCGACGAAGGACGUGACAGACGACGAUAUGCCUUGAGUAGCUGUGAGUGAGCGAUGAUCCAGGCAUUUCCGACGGGGGAAAACCCCCAGGCCCGGGAACGUUAUUCCACAGGGCCCGGGAACGUAAUUCACCAGGCCCGGGAAACGUAUUCCAAAGGCCCGGGGACGUUACUUAGCAGGUCCGGAGAACGUAUUCACAGGCCGGGAACGUAUCCACAGGUUUCGUGUGGUAUUUUCAGUCUUUGUUUCG